CUUUAACAAUCCGGAACAAGCUGAAAAUUUGAAACAACCGCAGUGCUGUUGCAAAACAGGACUGACGGGUCUCUCAAUAACUCCAAUCCGAAGACACCUUCGG
Molecule: small RNA, 103 nt
Filed under: Xenorhabdus beddingii
Lineage: Bacteria; Pseudomonadati; Pseudomonadota; Gammaproteobacteria; Enterobacterales; Morganellaceae
Description: StyR-44
Source: RNAcentral